This is a long non-coding RNA of Odocoileus virginianus texanus, 1242 nucleotides long. RefSeq lists it as uncharacterized. NCBI's taxonomy places the organism in Eukaryota, Metazoa, Chordata, Mammalia, Artiodactyla, Cervidae. The record is from RefSeq and is a predicted model, not a curated record.
CCUGGUUGGCUGGAGACUUCAGACUGGAAAGAACCUUCUCUGGAGCUGGCCAGGCCUUGCCCUGCAACUGCGGCCCAACGUUGUCCUGGCUCCCAGCAGCCCUGGUCCUCUCCCUGGGGCAUGGCGGCAUGCUUGCGUCUGCUUCCCGUGCUCUGAAACUUUCCAGGGUGCUCCCUGCAGGGUCCUCGCGGCUGGCGGCUGGUCCUCCCACCCGGGGACCCUCGUGUGGUCCCCCAGUGCUCGCCAUUCCUCUCCAUGUCCUCUGGAAGCUCCUGGGCCUGCGCACUAGGGACGCUCCUCAGAUUUCCUUCUCUUCUCCGCCUUCCUGGUGUCCAGCUCUGGUCACAUUCUACUCCCUGUCCCUUCCAGCCCAGGACUCGAUUUCCGAGACCACGUUUCAUGCUACUGCCCCUGAAUGCUUUUGUUUUCUGUUCUCUUGUCUUUGUUCGUGUUCUGUGGAUGUGGUGUCUCCCCUCCAAGGAUUCUAAGGCCAGUCUUGGCUUCCAUGGCAACUCCCAGAAGUCUGCCUCCGAGCGGUGAGCACCUUCCUAGGUACCUGCAACUCCUGACCUUCUGCUCUGGCCAAGGGUGAGGGUGUGAAGCUGGUGGAAGGUCUGGGGACUCGGCGGGCUGGCACCAUCAACACCACUGUUGAGGAUCUCAGGGCACUGUGUGUUGGGGUGCCCCACUGUCAGCUCCCUCUGGGCAGAUGGACCCUGAAGGAGGUCCCCCAUCUCUGCCGGGGGGUAAAGUGUGGUGGAUUCUGACGUCUAACAGUCCAGUCACUGCACACGGUCUCCUGCCCAGGCCCGAGCACGUUUCCUCUUGCACCCCGCCUCCAGCUCUGUGCUUUCCAAGGACUCAGCACCUACAAGGCCCAGAUCCCGCCACUUCAUCUGGGGGGCUGCCUGCUCCAGACGAAGCCCGGCCCCUGGGAAAGGCUCAGGCUGCCACCGUCCCCCUGGGAGCUCGGACAAGCGUCCCCAGGUGGACUCUAGGACCAGAAAGGGGUGGCCACGUGGUGGCUGCGAGCCCCAACCAGCCUCGCCUGUCACAACUCAGCUAGUUGAGAUUCUGCAAAACCAGCGGUGCUCAGCCCGCUUGCUCCCCAACAUACCCGAUGCUAAGCAAGAAGCCAAGCACCCACAUGAAUGCCAAGGGCAGGUUCCUCCUCAGACCCUCACCUGAGAGCACGAUGGAGAAGGGCUGCCUCUGCCCCCGCCGCCCACUCACAGCCUGGCG